GCGGCCUAUCAGCUUGUUGGUGAGGUAAUGGCUCACCAAGGCAACGACGGUAGCCGGCCUGAGAGGGCGACCGGCCACACUGGGACUGAGACACGGCCCAGACUCCUACGGGAGGCAGCAGUGGGGAAUAUUGGGCAAUGGACGCAAGUCUGACCCAGCGACGCCGCGUGCGGGAUGAAGGCCUUCGGGUUGUAAACCGCUUUCAGCAGGGAAGAAGCGAAAGUGACGGUACCUGCAAAAGAAGCACCGGCUAACUAUGUGCCAGCAGCCGCGGUAAUACAUAGGGUGCAAGCGUUGUCCGGAAUUAUUGGGCGUAAAGAGCUCGUAGGUGGUUCGUCACGUCGGAUGUGAAAAUCUGGGGCUCAACCCCAGACCUGCAUUCGAUACGAGCGAGCUAGAGUUUGGUAGGGGAGACUGGAAUUCCU
This 425-nucleotide ribosomal RNA is filed under the name uncultured Actinomycetes bacterium. RNAcentral describes it as "bacterial SSU rRNA". It matches the Rfam family "Bacterial small subunit ribosomal RNA", at positions 233 to 671 of the family's 1533-position model. Lineage: Bacteria; Bacillati; Actinomycetota; Actinomycetes. The record is from RNAcentral.